AAUUGAAUGGCUGAUAAAGCAAUAAAUUGUAAAUUUAUAUAUGUAAAUAAAGUUAAUGAUAUUA
Molecule: transfer RNA, 64 nt
Filed under: Opisthopatus cinctipes
Lineage: Eukaryota; Metazoa; Onychophora; Udeonychophora; Euonychophora; Peripatopsidae
Description: tRNA-Tyr
Source: RNAcentral